RNAcentral lists this ribosomal RNA (275 nucleotides) under uncultured bacterium. RNAcentral describes it as "partial 16S ribosomal RNA". It matches the Rfam family "Bacterial small subunit ribosomal RNA", at positions 77 to 353 of the family's 1533-position model. The record is from RNAcentral.
CAAACUGGAGAUGGCGACCGGCGCACGGGUGAGUAACACGUAUCCAACCUGCCGAUAACUCGGGGAUAGCCUUUCGAAAGAAAGAUUAAUACCCGAUGGCAUAAUAGAACCGCAUGGUUUGAUUAUUAAAGAAUUUCGGUUAUCGAUGGGGAUGCGUUCCAUUAGGCAGUUGGUGGGGUAACGGCCCACCAAACCUUCGAUGGAUAGGGGUUCUGAGAGGAAGGUCCCCCACAUUGGAACUGAGACACGGCCAAACUCCUACGGGAGGCAGCAUG